This 485-nucleotide ribosomal RNA is filed under the name uncultured bacterium. RNAcentral describes it as "partial 16S ribosomal RNA". It matches the Rfam family "Bacterial small subunit ribosomal RNA", at positions 30 to 507 of the family's 1533-position model. The record is from RNAcentral.
UUGAACGCUGGCGGCAUGCUUCACACAUGCAAGUCGAACGGUAACAGGUGUAGCAAUACAUGCUGACGAGUGGCGGACGGGUGAGGAAUGCUUGGGAAUCUGCCUGUUAGUGGGGGACAACCCGGGGAAACUCGGGCUAAUACCGCAUACGCUCUACGGAGGAAAGCGGGGGACCGUAAGGCCUCGCGCUAACAGAUGAGCCCAAGUCGGAUUAGCUAGUUGGUGGGGUAAAAGCCUACCAAGGCGACGAUCCGUAGCUGGUCUGAGAGGACGAUCAGCCACACUGGGACUGAGACACGGCCCAGACUCCUACGGGAGGCAGCAGUGGGGAAUAUUGGACAAUGGGGGCAACCCUGAUCCAGCAAUGCCGCGUGUGUGAAGAAGGCCUGCGGGUUGUAAAGCACUUUUGGCAGGGAUGAAAAGCACUGGAUUAAUAACCCAGUGUGUUGACCUAACCUGCAGAAGAAGCACCGGCUAACUCUGUG